RNAcentral lists this ribosomal RNA (450 nucleotides) under uncultured Diversispora. RNAcentral describes it as "SSU rRNA". It matches the Rfam family "Eukaryotic small subunit ribosomal RNA", at positions 569 to 1022 of the family's 1831-position model. The record is from RNAcentral. Lineage: Eukaryota; Fungi; Glomeromycota; Glomeromycetes; Diversisporales; Diversisporaceae.
AGCAGCCGCGGUAAUUCCAGCUCCAAUAGCGUAUAUUAAAGUUGUUGCAGUUAAAAAGCUCGUAGUUGAACUUCGGGAUUUACCCAUUGGUCAGGCUUAAUUGUCUGUACUGGUGAGAUAAAUCUCUACCUUCUGAGGAACUUUCAUGCCAUUUAUUUGGUGUGAUUGGAAAUCAGGACUAUUACUUUGAAAAAUUAGAGUGUUUAAAGCAGGCUAACGUCUGAAUAUAUUAGCAUGGAAUAAUGAAAUAGGACGGCUUGGUUCUAUUUCGUUGGUUUCUAGGAUCACCGUAAUGAUUAAUAGGGAUAGUUGGGGGCAUUAGUAUUCAAUUGUCAGAGGUGAAGUUCUUGGAUUUAUUGAAGACUAACUACUGCGAAAGCAUUUGCCAAGGAUGUUUUCAUUAAUCAAGAACGAAAGUUAGGGGAUCGAAGACGAUCAGAUACCGUCGUA